This 1203-nucleotide ribosomal RNA is filed under the name Tridacna derasa. RNAcentral describes it as "16S ribosomal RNA". It matches the Rfam family "Bacterial large subunit ribosomal RNA", at positions 562 to 2827 of the family's 2925-position model. The record is from RNAcentral. Lineage: Eukaryota; Metazoa; Mollusca; Bivalvia; Cardiida; Cardiidae.
ACUAAAAAGAAGAAAGUAAAAUCUUUACUUUUUGCAUCAUGGUCUAUAGAGAGUGAGACCAAAAUUGGUUUUUCCCGAAAGUUCAGGAGCUACUUAAGAUGUAAUGUGGUCUGUUUCAUAAUACCUGCUAAGCGUUAAAGUAGUGGCGACAUACCAAUCGCAUGGACUGAUAGCUGGUUGUUACGAAAACAUACUUUAGUAUGGAGGAGUUGAUUUAGCUUUCCCAACGAUUUUAGGAGGGAACAGUAAUGCAAUUCUAUUCGGGCUGUUGGGGAUAAGCUGAGCAGGAGUGUUAAUUGAUAUGAAUCAAUAAGGUAGGGUUAGUAGUGCCCAUCCUUUUAAGUUUUGUCUAAAAUAAUUACGUAGUUAAGAUUAAUAAUAUUAUACGUAACCCAUAUAAUUAACUUUAAUAUGUGGAUUAGUAUAGAAUGAGUAGUCAAGCUAAAUAUCAUAGGCUGAAUUCGAAAAAUAUUUGCUUAAUAAUUAUAAAAUGUAAAGUGAGGAAUAAAAGGUUUUUCUAAGGAACUCGGCAAAUACUCUCUGCGCCUGUUUACCAAAAACAUCUCUUCUAGAAUGAUACUAGAAGUAGGCCCUGCCCGGUGCCCUGCGGGGUAAACGGCGGUGUUAAACCUUAAAGUAGCGUGAUAAGUCGGCCUUUAAUUGGGGUCUGGUAUGAAGGGGUUGACGUCGGAGAAACUGUCUCGGAAAAAUAUGGUGAAAUUUACUUUUAAGUGAAAAGGCUUAAAUAAAAGUAAAAGACGAGAAGGCCCUGUCGAGCUUGAGGGAUUUGAGUGUUAAAUAACAUGAUUAGGAGUUUGGCUGGGGCAGCAAUGGAGGUAGCCUCCAUUUUUAAAGCAAAGAUCCAUUAUAGUUAAUUAAUGAUAAAAGGAAAAAGUUACCGCAGGGAUAACAGCACAAGACCGCCUCAGAGGUCGUAUCGAAGGCGGUAAGUGUGACCUCGAUGUUGGAUUAGGGUAAACCUCUUUGUGCAGGAGCAAAGCGGGUAGGACUGUUCUUCCUUUAAUUCCCUACAUGAUCUGAGUUAAGACCGGCGUGAGCUAGGUCGGUUUCUAUCUUUAAAAGGAGCUGGCUCUCGUACGAAAGGAUCGAGGCGGCUGAACUAUUAUUUUUAAGUUUAAUCCUAAACAGAUAAAUUUAUUACACUUAUAUAGUGGAAGGAUUCAUGGUAGUAGCAGUAGUUGC